GAUGAACGCUGGCGGCGUGCCUAAUACAUGCCAGUCGAGCGAACGGACGCGUAGCUUGCUUUUCUGAUGUUAGCGGCGGACGGGCGAGUAUCACGUGGAUAACCUACCUAUAAUCCUGGGAUAACUUCGGGAAACCGGCGCUAAUACCGGAUAAUAUUUUUAACCGCAUGGUUCUAAAGUGUAAGACGGUCUUGCUGUCACUUAUAGCUUGAUCCGCUCUGCAUUAGCUAGUUGGUAAGGUAACGGCUUACCAAGGCACCGAUGCAUAGCCGACCUGAGAGGGUGAUCGGCCACACUGGAACUGGGACAGGGUCCAUGCUCCUACGGGAGGCAGCAGAAGGGAAUCUGCCGCAGUGGGCGAAAGCCUGACGGAGCAAGGCCGCGUGAGUGAUGAAGGUCUUCGGAGCGGAAAGCUCUGUUAUUAGGGAAGAACACAUGUGUAAGGAACUGUGCACAUCGUGACGGUACCUAAUCAGAAAGCCACGGCUAACUACGUG
RNAcentral lists this ribosomal RNA (497 nucleotides) under uncultured bacterium. RNAcentral's name for it is "partial 16S ribosomal RNA". It matches the Rfam family "Bacterial small subunit ribosomal RNA", at positions 28 to 507 of the family's 1533-position model. The record is from RNAcentral.